GUCAAGCUAAUAAGAGCGCAAGGGGAAUGCCUUGGCACUGAGAGCCGAAGAAGGACGCGACAAGCUGCGAUAAGCUGCGGGGAGGAGCAAAUAUCCAUUGAUCCGCAGAUUUCCGAAUGGGGAAACCCGGCUGGACAAUAUCCAGUCAUCCUGCAUUGAAUCAAAUAGGUGUAGGAAGGGAACCGCCUGAACUGAAACAUCUAAGUAGGGCGAGGAAAAGACAUCAACAGAGAUUCCGCAAGUAGUGGCGAGCGAACGCGGAAGAGGCCAAACCGGAGGAUUUAUUCUCCGGGGUUGUGGACCGGCAUAAGAUCUACUAGUCUAGUCGAACGGCAUGGGAAGGCCGACGAUACAGGGUGAGAGUCCCGUAGACGAAAGGCGAUGUAGAUUGGCUGGUAUCCAGAGUACCGCUGGACACGUGAAACCCGGUGGGAAACUGGGGGGACCACCCUCCAAGCCUAAAUACUACUCAGUGACCGAUAGAGGAGCAGUACCGUGAGGGAAAGGUGAAAAGGACCCCGGGAGGGGAGUGAAAGAGAACCUGAAACCUUGUGCUUACAAGCAGUCAAAGCGCGUUAAUGCGUGAUGGCGUACUUUUUGUAGAACGGUCCGGCGAGUUAUAGUAACGAGCAAGCUUAAGGUAUUCAGUACCGGAGGCGCAGCGAGAGCGAGUCUGAAUAGGGCGUAAAAAGUUCGUUGCCAUAGACCCGAAACCGGGUGACCUACCCAUGAGCAGGUUGAAGUGGGGGUAAAGCCCCAUGGAGGACCGAACCGACCCCCGUUGCAAUGGUGGCGGAUGACUUGUGGGUAGCGGUGAAAUUCCAAUCGAACUCGGAGAUAGCUGGUUCUCCCCGAAAUAGCUUUAGGGCUAGCGUUAACUUAGAUUACCGGAGGUAAAGCACUGAAUGGUAGAGGGGCCGAUAAGGUUACCAACGCCUAUCAAACUCAGAAUGCCGGCUAAUUGAUGGUUAGCAGUCAGACAGUGUGAGAUAAGUUUCAUUGUCAAAAGGGAAACAGCCCAGACCUACAGCUAAGGUCCCAAAUGUAUGCUAAGUGGAAAACGAUGUGGAAUUGCGAAAACAACCAGGAUGUUGGCUCAGAAGCAGCCACACAUUAAAAGAGUGCGUAAUAGCUCACUGGUCGAGUGGUUCUGCGCGGAAAAUGUAACGGGGCUAAGCAUACAACCGAAGCUUAGGAUUGUCAGUAAUGACAGUGGUAGGGGAGCGUUCCAUACAGGGUGAAGUCGUAGCGUAAGCAGCGGUGGACAGUAUGGAAGUUGAGAAUGCCGGAAUGAGUAGCGAGAAUCAUGUGGGAAUCAUGAUGGCCGAAAAUCUAAGGUUUCUUGGGGAAGGUUCGUCCGCCCAAGGUAAGCCGGGGGCUAAGGCGAGGCCGCAAGGCGUAGUCGAUGCACAUACGGUAGAAAUUCCGUAGCCACCGAACUUUAAACCAGAGGGACACUUCAGAAUAGCGGAACCCGGGCGUUGGUUGCCCCGGGCGUAAGGGAGCGAAAUUAUAGUAGCGAAGUCCGCGAUGUCUGGAGGCGAGAAAAGCUCUGGCGUAUACUAAGGUGCCCGUACCGCAAACCGACACAGGUAGAUGAGGAGAGAAUCCUAAGGCCAACGGGAGAAGGGUUGUUAAGGAACUCGGCAAGUUGACCCCGUAACUUCGGAAGAAGGGGAGCCUCGAAAGAGGCCGCAGUGAAUAGGCCCAAGCAACUGUUUACCAAAAACACAGGUCUAUGCUAAAUCGAAAGAUGACGUAUAUGGGCUGACGCCUGCCCGGUGCCGGAAGGUUAAGAGGAGAUGUCAGGGGCAACCCGAAGCAUUGAAUUGAAGCCCCGGUAAACGGCGGCCGUAACUAUAACGGUCCUAAGGUAGCGAAAUUCCUUGUCAGGUAAGUUCUGACCCGCACGAAAGGCGUAAUGAUUUGGGCACUGUCUCAACAGCCCUCCCGGCGAAAUUGUAGUACCGGUGAAGAUGCCGGUUACCCGCAACUAGACGGAAAGACCCCAUGGAGCUUUACUGCAGCUUAAUACUGGAAAUCGGUAAUUCAUGUACAGGAUAGGUGGGAGACAUGGAAGCACGGGCGUCAGCUCGUGUGGAGUCGAUGGUGGGAUACCACUCUUGAAUUGCUGAUUUUCUAACCUGCGGCCCUGAAUCGGGUCGGGGGACACUGUUAGGUGGGCAGUUUGACUGGGGCGGUCGCCUCCUAAAGAGUAACGGAGGCGCUCAAAGGUUCGUUCAGCACGGACGGAAAUCGUGCAGUGAGUGUAAACGCAUAAACGAGCCUGACUGCGAGACCGACGGGUCGAGCAGGAACGAAAGUUGGAGUUAGUGAUCCGGUGGUAUGCAAGUGGAAGUGCCAUCGCUCAACGGAUAAAAGCUACCCUGGGGAUAACAGGCUGAUCUCCCCCAAGCGUCCACAGCGACGGGGAGGUUUGGCACCUCGAUGUCGGCUCGUCACAUCCUGGGGCUGUAUUCGGUCCCAAGGGUUCGGCUGUUCGCCGAUUAAAGUGGCACGCGAGCUGGGUUCAGAACGUCGUGAGACAGUUCGGUCCCUAUCUGUUGCGGGCGUAAGAGAUUUGAAGGGAGCUGUCCUUAGUACGAGAGGACCGGGAUGGACAUACCUCUGGUGCACCAGUUGUCCUGCCAAGGGCAUAGCUGGGUAGCUAUGUAUGGACGAGAUAAACGCUGAAGGCAUCUAAGCGUGAAACUCUCCCUAAGAUAAGAUCUCUCAUUCGUGAGAAGUAAGGGCACAGGAAGACUACCUGUUUGAUAGGCCAGAGGUGGAAGCGCAGUAAUGUGUGUAGCUGACUGGUACUAAUCGCCCGAGGGCUUGACCUACAAUUGUGCAG
Molecule: ribosomal RNA, 2854 nt
Filed under: Clostridium sp. enrichment culture clone 7-14
Lineage: Bacteria; Bacillati; Bacillota; Clostridia; Eubacteriales; Clostridiaceae
Description: bacterial LSU rRNA
Rfam family: Bacterial large subunit ribosomal RNA
Source: RNAcentral